This 604-nucleotide small RNA is filed under the name Histoplasma capsulatum var. duboisii H88. RNAcentral describes it as "Histoplasma capsulatum H88 hypothetical RNA". The record is from RNAcentral. Lineage: Eukaryota; Fungi; Ascomycota; Eurotiomycetes; Onygenales; Ajellomycetaceae.
GAACGAGAACAGGCGUUUAUCCCUGGCCUAACUACACUUGCAUUUUCAGAUAAAGCUAUCUUACAACCUCUCUCUUUGCAAAGGGCUGAAAUGGCAUGUGACUGUGAGGAAGUUAUCAAACGACCCCCCCAAAGAAUUAUUGCUACGAGAAGUUAGGUUACCAGCACAUGCAACUCGAAAUUUUGAUGAACAUAUUUGAUAAUCGCUGUCAUUGAUUGGUUGUGCAAUAAUAUCUCACUCUUUAAAUGAACUGCAUUUUUGGUGGUGGAUUGGGUGGAGCUUUUGAUCUCCAGAUCCGGAUCCUGUACUUGCCCUGAUUAUUCCUGGGAAUACGAGUAACUAUGGGUCAAAUGCAAUGCCUAACUUGGCGAUGAUUGGCCAUGGUCUGGACUGUAAGGUCUUUCGAGACCCAAAAGACCACACCUUGGCUUCGCGAGUCCCCCGCAUUGAUUGACAUGUUGCGAGACAUAAUUGAGGGUCCCAUCUACGAGUACAUGACACUCAUUAACGAACACGUUUCAGUUGAUGUCACUUCUUGACCUUGAGCUACUAAAAAGACUUUCAUUGUCCCCUCUGCUGUCUGAAUAGUGCAGCGAAUACCUAA